GUGAAUCAUCGAAUCUUUGAACGCACAUUGCGCCGUGUGGUAUUCCGCACGGCAUGCCUGUUUGAGCGUCAUUUCUCUCUCAAGCCUCCGGGUUUGGUAUUGAGUGGCAGGCCCCCGCGGGGGCGUUAGCUUGAAAUGGAUUGGCGGAGGCCACGGACGAUCAAUGUAUUAGGUUCUACCAACUCGUUGUCGCGUCCGGCGCAGCCGCCCAGAAACCCACCAAGUUUGACCUCAAAUCAGGCAGGACUACCCGCUGAACUUAAGCAUAUCAAUAAGCGGAGGA
This 283-nucleotide unclassified non-coding RNA is filed under the name Spathaspora sp. RNAcentral's name for it is "partial contains 5.8S ribosomal RNA, internal transcribed spacer 2, and large subunit ribosomal RNA". The stretch from base 1 to 71 matches the Rfam family "5.8S ribosomal RNA", at positions 84 to 154 of the family's 154-position model. The record is from RNAcentral. Lineage: Eukaryota; Fungi; Ascomycota; Pichiomycetes; Serinales; Debaryomycetaceae.